GACGAACCGUGCGAACGUUGUUCGGAAUCACUGGGCUUAAAGGGCGCGUAGGCGGGCUGCUAAGUCAGGGGUGAAAGCCCACGGCUCAACCGUGGAAGUGCCUUUGAUACUGGCGGUCUGGAGGGAGGUAGGGGCGUGCGGAACUUCCGGUGGAGCGGUGAAAUGCGUAGAUAUCGGAAGGAACACCGGUGGCGAAGGCGGCUUCCUGGACCGACACUGACGCUGAGGCGCGAAAGCUAGGGGAGCAAACAGG
Molecule: ribosomal RNA, 253 nt
Filed under: uncultured bacterium
Lineage: Bacteria
Description: partial 16S ribosomal RNA
Rfam family: Bacterial small subunit ribosomal RNA
Source: RNAcentral